UUUCUCAAAAUAUUUGGUGUGGUUUUUCUCAUUCUGUAUUGGUCCUUCUAUAGUCCUUUUUAGUUGGUUUAGAAAUAUAUUUGGUUUGAUUACAGAUUUAAGUGAUAUUACCAAUGAAUAUUUCUCAAAUCUAACUGUUCAUCAGACCCUGAUAUUGCCUUUUGUGCUUGUAAUUUUAGAUAUUAGAACUAAAGAAUAAUUUCUAUAUAACGUUAAACAAUAGUAGUGCAGUAUGUUUUUGUUCUACCUUUUGCAAAUGUACUGUGAAACAUGCCAUUGUAUUGUGAAACCUCUAGUUUUUCUUGAUAUGAGUUAACUAUGGAAUAUUAUUUUCAUUUUCUCAUAUAUAUGUAUUUGGUGAUGCAUUUAUUGCAGACAAUUGAGAUUCUUUUCAGCAAAAGGAUAUUCUUAGAUAUAGAGGUUUGAGUUUUUGUUGGAUGCAUGGUCUAGGAUUAGCUGAAUUCAUGCAUAGUGACGACUUGUUUGAGCUAACUGUUGAUCUUAAAGUGUGCAUUCUAUCUUUAUUUUGUUCUAUUUGUAUUUUGUUAGAUUUCUGGUGUAGUAUGAUAAGUGCGGUAUUUUAUUUGAUUGUUAUUGAUAAACUUUCUGUUUGGUGGGAUAUAUAUUUAUAUUGAAUUUUAAAUUUUUUAUAUUUUUCA
Molecule: long non-coding RNA, 659 nt
Organism: Gossypium arboreum
Lineage: Eukaryota; Viridiplantae; Streptophyta; Magnoliopsida; Malvales; Malvaceae
Exons: 2
Source: RefSeq, a predicted model, not a curated record